RNAcentral lists this ribosomal RNA (472 nucleotides) under uncultured fungus. RNAcentral describes it as "eukaryotic LSU rRNA". The stretch from base 107 to 260 matches the Rfam family "5.8S ribosomal RNA". Lineage: Eukaryota; Fungi. The record is from RNAcentral.
UGCCUCGGCGGAUCAGCCCGCUCCCGGUAAAACGGGACGGCCCGCCAGAGGACCCCUAAACUCUGUUUCUAUAUGUAACUUCUGAGUAAAACCAUAAAUAAAUCAAAACUUUCAACAACGGAUCUCUUGGUUCUGGCAUCGAUGAAGAACGCAGCAAAAUGCGAUAAGUAAUGUGAAUUGCAGAAUUCAGUGAAUCAUCGAAUCUUUGAACGCACAUUGCGCCCGCCAGUAUUCUGGCGGGCAUGCCUGUUCGAGCGUCAUUUCAACCCUCAAGCACAGCUUGGUGUUGGGACUCGCGUUAAUUCGCGUUCCUCAAAUUGAUUGGCGGUCACGUCGAGCUUCCAUAGCGUAGUAGUAAAACCCUCGUUACUGGUAAUCGUCGCGGCCACGCCGUUAAACCCCAACUUCUGAAUGUUGACCUCGGAUCAGGUAGGAAUACCCGCUGAACUUAAGCAUAUCAAUAAGCGGAGGA